AAGACUAUAGACCUGCGGAGUACCUGCGGAAGGAUCAUUACUGAGUUUCACAACUCUCUAACCCUGUGUGAACUGAAGUCUGGUUGCUCAGGCAGGCGGCCCCCGGGGGGAGCCGCAGCUUCUCUGAAGCGCCUGCCGGAGGAUACCUAAACUCGUUUUAACAUAUAAUCUUCUGAGUAAUAAAAAAAAAAUGAAUCAAAACUUUUAACAAUGGAUCUCU
This 220-nucleotide unclassified non-coding RNA is filed under the name soil metagenome. RNAcentral describes it as "partial contains 5.8S ribosomal RNA, internal transcribed spacer 2, and large subunit ribosomal RNA". The record is from RNAcentral.